GACGAACGCUGGCGGCGUGCUUAACACAUGCAAGUCGAACGGAAAGGCCUCUUUCGGGGGGUACUCGAGUGGCGAACGGGUGAGUAACACGUGAGUAACCUGCCCUUGACUUUGGGAUAACUUCAGGAAACUGGGGCUAAUACCGGAUAGGAGCUCCUGCUGCAUGGUGGGGGUUGGAAAGUUUCGGCAGUUGGGGAUGGACUCGCGGCUUAUCAGCUUGUUGGUGGGGUAGUGGCUUACCAAGGCUUUGACGGGUAGCCGGCCUGAGAGGGUGACCGGCCACAUUGGGACUGAGAUACGGCCCAGACUCCUACGGGAGGCAGCAGUGGGGAAUAUUGCACAAUGGGUGGAAGCCUGAUGCAGCAACGCCGUGUGCGGGAUGACGGCCUUCGGGUUGUAAACCGCUUUCGCUCAUGACGAAGCUUUGUGUGACGGUAGUGGGUAAAGAAGCACCGGCUAACUACGUG
Molecule: ribosomal RNA, 467 nt
Filed under: uncultured bacterium
Lineage: Bacteria
Description: partial 16S ribosomal RNA
Rfam family: Bacterial small subunit ribosomal RNA
Source: RNAcentral